RNAcentral lists this ribosomal RNA (1567 nucleotides) under metagenome. Its description in RNAcentral is "bacterial SSU rRNA". It matches the Rfam family "Bacterial small subunit ribosomal RNA". The record is from RNAcentral.
AGGGUUUGAUCCUGGCUCAGAGUGAACGCUGGCGGCGUGGAUUAGGCAUGCAAGUCGAGCGAUCUUAUUUAACGAACUGCUUGAAAUUUUGGAAGUCCUUCGGGAUGGAAGGAAUGGAUGGUAGCUAGUUUUUUAGGAUAGCGGCAAAAGGGUGAGUAACGCGUGGGUGAUUUAUCCUGAAAUGAGGGAUAGCUUCGAGAAAUCGAAGGUAAUACCUCGUAUGCCGCAACGUCAAGUUGCGGUGAAAGGUGGCGAAGGUCCGUAAGGAUCUGCUAUUGUUUUAGGAGGAGCCCGCGUCCUAUCAGCUAGUUGGUGGGGUAAUGGCCUACCAAGGCUACGACGGGUAGCUGGCAUUAGUGUGUGGUCAGCCACACCGGGACUGAGACACCGCCCGGACUCCUACGGGAGGCUGCAGUCGAGAAUCUUUCCCAAUGCUCGAAAGAGUGAGGAUGCGACGCCGCGUGGGGGAUGAAGGUCUUCGGAUUGUAAACCCCUUUUGUAGGAGAGGAAAAAACGCUUUCGAAUAGGGAGCGGAACUGACAUUAUUCUACGAAUAAGUCACGGCUAACUCCGUGCCAGCAGCCGCGGUAAUACGGAGGUGGCUAGCGUUACUCGGAAUUACUGGGUGUAAAGGGUUCGUAGGCGGCUAGGUAAGUAAGAGGUGAAAUCCUUUCGCUUAACGAAAGAACUGCCUCUUAUACUGCUUAGCUAGAGGAUAAGAGAGGAAAGCGGAACUGUCGGUGUAAGGGUGAAAUCUGUGGAUAUCGACAGGAACGUCAGUGGCGAAGGCGGCUUUCUGGCUUAUACCUAACGCUGAGGAACGAAAGCUAGGGGAGCAAACAGGAUUAGAUACCCUGGUAGUCCUAGCUGUAAACGAUGGGCACUAGGUGUUUGGGCUUUAUGCUUGAGCGCCGCAGCUAACGCGUUAAGUGCCCCACCUGGGGACUACGGCCGCAAGGCUAAAACUCAAAGGAAUUGACGGGGGCCCGCACAAGCGGUGGAACACGUGGUUUAAUUCGAUGCUACGCGAGGAACCUUACCAGGGCUUGACAUGCUAGGAGUAUUUCGGUGGAAACAUUGAAAGACCGUAUCCAAUCGGCGUCUAGCACAGGUGCUGCAUGGUUGUCGUCAGCUCGUGCCGUGAGGUGUCGCCUUAAGUGGUUUAACGAGCGCAACCCUCGCCUUUUGUUGCUAAUUUUGAUUCACGUCAAAAUGCACUCUAAAGGGACUGCCCACGUUAAGUGGGAGGAAGGUGGGGAUGACGUCAAAUCAGCAUGGCCCUUAUGUCCUGGGCUACACACGUGUUACAAUGGCGUGUACAGAGGGAUGCCAAGCCGCAAGGUGGAGCAAAUCCCAAAAAGCACGUCUCAAUUCGGAUUGAGGGCUGCAAUUUGCCCUCAUGAAGCUGGAAUCGCUAGUAACGGCGUAUCAGCAACGAUGCCGUGAAUACGUUCCCGGGCCUUGUACACACCGCCCGUCAAGCGCCGAAAGUGGGGGGCACUCGAAGCUCCGACGUUAGUCGGAUUCACGGUGAAUUCCAUGAUUGGUGCUAAGUCGUAACAAGGUA